AUGCAAGAAAUGCUGGUUUCUGGUACAUGGCGUUCGUCAAGACCUCAUGGCUACCGUCGUGGACCUCAUUUGCCACAUCACGGACUUGCUGGGCGGAAAUGGAAGUUGUUUGUUGGGUUUGCUCGGAUGGUGAGAAGCCGAACUGAACAGAGGAAGUUUGUGAAUGGUUGUGGUCCGGUAGCAGUUCAAUCGGAACAGAGAGAUAUGUGGUGGCCGGAGUGGUCCGAAGGGUGGUGGCUCCGGUUGUGGGAUGGCGCGGCUGAGAUGGAAAUAGCGGUGAUUGUUGGAAGAGUGGCAAAAAUAAUUUGA
Molecule: non-coding RNA, 309 nt
Organism: Vicia faba (fava bean)
Lineage: Eukaryota; Viridiplantae; Streptophyta; Magnoliopsida; Fabales; Fabaceae
Source: the annotation of a GenBank genome assembly